UGGCCCUUUUGGAAGACUUUUCAAGGACUUUUCAAAGACUUUUAAAAUGCAAAGGAUCUUCAUGUGUGAGGGGGACAGUUUUGCACAUGUGCAGUGAGGUUUUCCCUCCAGUAAAUGUGCUGUGAGAAACACUCCCCGGAGAUUGAGGUCAGAGUUUGAUAUAGAACAGUGACGUUCUUGUUGUCA
Molecule: long non-coding RNA, 186 nt
Organism: Cyprinus carpio carpio
Lineage: Eukaryota; Metazoa; Chordata; Actinopteri; Cypriniformes; Cyprinidae
Source: Ensembl